UACAGAGGGUGCAAGCGUUAAUCGGAAUUACUGGGCGUAAAGCGUGCGUAGACGGUUACAUAAGUCGGGUGUGAAAGCCCCGGGCUCAACCUGGGAAUUGCAUUCGAGACUGCGUAGCUAGGGUGCGGAAGAGGGAAGCGGAAUUUCCGGUGUAGCGGUGAAAUGCGUAGAUAUCGGAAGGAACACCAGUGGCGAAAGCGGCUUCCGUGGUCCAGCACCGACGUCAGGCACGAAAGCGUGGGGAGCAAACAGG
RNAcentral lists this ribosomal RNA (253 nucleotides) under uncultured bacterium. RNAcentral describes it as "partial 16S ribosomal RNA". It matches the Rfam family "Bacterial small subunit ribosomal RNA", at positions 524 to 776 of the family's 1533-position model. The record is from RNAcentral.